CGGAGGCUACCGCUAUUGGAGUUCGAUUAAGCCAUGCGAGUCGCGAGUCUUAGGGACUCGGCGUACCGCUCAGUAACACGUGGGUAACCUGCCCUAUGCUGGGGAAUAACCUCGGGAAACUGAGAAUAAUGCCCCAUAGUUCACCACGCCUGGAACGGUGGGUGGAUCAAAGCUCCGGCGGCAUAGGAUGGGCCUGCGGCGUAUCAGGUCGUAGGGGGUGUAAUGUACCCUCUAGCCAUCGACGCGUACGGGUGUUGGGAGACAUUGCCCGGAGAUGGAUUCUGAGACACGAAUCCAGACCCUACGGGGUGCAGCAGGCGCGAAAACUUGGCAAUGCGAGAAAUCGUGACCAGGGAACUCCAAGUGCAUCGGGUAAGACCGAUGCUUUUCUUGACUCUUCAACGGUCUUGGAAUAAGGGGUGGGCAAGGACGGUGCCAGCCGCCGCGGUAAUACCGGCGCCUCAAGUGGUAGUCGCUUUUAUUGGGCCUAAAACGUCCGUAGCCGGUUUGGUACAUUCGUGGGUAAAUCAAGGCGCUCAACGUCUUGAAUUCUGCGAGCACGGCCAGACUUGGGACCGGGUGAGGUGUGGGGUACUCUCAGGGUAGGGGUAAAAUCCUGACAUCCUGAGAGGACCACCUGUUGCGAAGGCGCCACACUAGAACGGAUCCGACGGUCAGGGACGAAGCCUAGGGGCACGAACCGGAUUAGAUACCCGGGUAGUCCUAGGUGUAAGCGCUGUGGACUUGAUGUUGGGAGUGCUCCGAGCACCCUCAGUGUCGAAGCGAAGGUGAUAAGUCCACUGCCUGGGGAGUACGGUCGCAAGGCUGAAACUUAAAGGAAUUGGCGGGG
This 850-nucleotide ribosomal RNA is filed under the name uncultured archaeon. RNAcentral's name for it is "bacterial SSU rRNA". It matches the Rfam family "Archaeal small subunit ribosomal RNA", at positions 18 to 873 of the family's 1478-position model. The record is from RNAcentral.